RNAcentral lists this ribosomal RNA (896 nucleotides) under Salmonella enterica. RNAcentral's name for it is "partial 23S ribosomal RNA". It matches the Rfam family "Bacterial large subunit ribosomal RNA", at positions 1918 to 2813 of the family's 2925-position model. The record is from RNAcentral. RNAcentral also lists the same sequence under 8 other names. Lineage: Bacteria; Pseudomonadati; Pseudomonadota; Gammaproteobacteria; Enterobacterales; Enterobacteriaceae.
CCCCGGUAAACGGCGGCCGUAACUAUAACGGUCCUAAGGUAGCGAAAUUCCUUGUCGGGUAAGUUCCGACCUGCACGAAUGGCGUAAUGAUGGCCAGGCUGUCUCCACCCGAGACUCAGUGAAAUUGAACUCGCUGUGAAGAUGCAGUGUACCCGCGGCAAGACGGAAAGACCCCGUGAACCUUUACUAUAGCUUGACACUGAACAUUGAGCCUUGAUGUGUAGGAUAGGUGGGAGGCUUUGAAGUGUGGACGCCAGUCUGCAUGGAGCCGACCUUGAAAUACCACCCUUUAAUGUUUGAUGUUCUAACGUGGACCCGUAAUCCGGGUUGCGGACAGUGUCUGGUGGGUAGUUUGACUGGGGCGGUCUCCUCCUAAAGAGUAACGGAGGAGCACGAAGGUUGGCUAAUCCUGGUCGGACAUCAGGAGGUUAGUGCAAUGGCAUAAGCCAGCUUGACUGCGAGCGUGACGGCGCGAGCAGGUGCGAAAGCAGGUCAUAGUGAUCCGGUGGUUCUGAAUGGAAGGGCCAUCGCUCAACGGAUAAAAGGUACUCCGGGGAUAACAGGCUGAUACCGCCCAAGAGUUCAUAUCGACGGCGGUGUUUGGCACCUCGAUGUCGGCUCAUCACAUCCUGGGGCUGAAGUAGGUCCCAAGGGUAUGGCUGUUCGCCAUUUAAAGUGGUACGCGAGCUGGGUUUAGAACGUCGUGAGACAGUUCGGUCCCUAUCUGCCGUGGGCGCUGGAGAACUGAGGGGGGCUGCUCCUAGUACGAGAGGACCGGAGUGGACGCAUCACUGGUGUUCGGGUUGUCAUGCCAAUGGCACUGCCCGGUAGCUAAAUGCGGAAGAGAUAAGUGCUGAAAGCAUCUAAGCACGAAACUUGCCCCGAGAUGAGUUCUC